RNAcentral lists this ribosomal RNA (1325 nucleotides) under metagenome. RNAcentral's name for it is "bacterial LSU rRNA". It matches the Rfam family "Bacterial large subunit ribosomal RNA", at positions 1561 to 2925 of the family's 2925-position model. The record is from RNAcentral.
AGUGGAUGGGGAGCAACCUAGUUGUGCGUGUGUAAAGGUAGUGCCAAGAAAAGCGAUGAUCAUGUUGAAAAUCAAUUCCCGGUACCCGAAACCGACACAGGUGGGCAAGUAGAGAAUACUAAGGGGCGCGAGGUAACUCUCUCCAAGGAACUCGGCAAAAUGACCCCGUAACUUAGGGAGAAGGGGUGCCACCGAGAGGUGGUCGCAGUGAAGAGGCCCAGGCGACUGUUUAGCAAAAACAUAGGUCUCUGCAAACUCGAAAGAGGAGGUAUAGGGGCUGACGCCUGCCCAGUGCCGGAAGGUUAAAGAAGUUGGUCAGUUUUAGGAUGAAGCUAGCGACUGAAGCCCCGGUGAACGGCGGCCGUAACUAUAACGGUCCUAAGGUAGCGAAAUUCCUUGUCGGGUAAGUUCCGACCCGCACGAAAGGCGUAACGAUCUGGGCGCUGUCUCGGAGAGAGGCUCGGCGAAAUAGGAUUGUCUGUGAAGAUACGGACUACCUGCAUUCGGACAGAAAGACCCUAUGAAGCUUUACUAUAGCUUGGAAUUGUGUUCGGGCUUCCUGUGCGCAGGAUAGGUGGGAGGCGUAGAAGGUAUUCUUGUGGGGAUACUGGAGCCAACGGUGAGAUACCACUCUCAGGAGGCUAGAAUUCUAACUUAAUUAAGGACAGUUUCAGGUGGGUAGUUUGACUGGGGCGGUCGCCUCCAAAAAGGUAACGGAGGCGUACAAAGGUUCCCUCAGACUGGUUGGAAAUCAGUCGAAGAGUGCAAAGGCAGAAGGGAGCUUGACUGCGAGAAGUACAGUUCGAGCAGGGUGGAAACACGGUCUUAGUGAUCCGACGGUGCUGUGUGGAAGGGCCGUCGCUCAACGGAUAAAAGUUACUCUAGGAUAACAGGCUGAUCUCCCCCAGGAGUUCACAUCGACGGGGAGGUUUGGCACCUCGAUGUCGGCUCAUCGCAACCUGGGGCGGAAGUACGUCCCAAGGGUUGGGCUGUUCGCCCAUUAAAGCGGUACGUGAGCUGGGUUCAGAACGUCGUGAGACAGUUCGGUCCAUAUCCGAUGUAGGCGUGAGAAUAUUGAGAGGAGCCUUCCUUAGUACGAGAGGACCGGGAAGGACGCACCGCUGGUGUACCUGUUAUGAUGCCAAUUGUAAACGCAGGGUAGCCAAGUGCGGAGAGGAUAACCGCUGAAAGCAUCUAAGUGGGAAGCCCACCUCAAGAUGAGUAUUCUGGUGUAAGGUCACGGGAAGACGACCCGUAAAUAGGCACGAGGUGGAAGUGCAGAGAUGUAUGAAGCCGAAGUGUACUAAUAGACCGUCGGCUUGACC